RNAcentral lists this long non-coding RNA (2650 nucleotides) under Homo sapiens (human). Its description in RNAcentral is "HSALNT0058489". Lineage: Eukaryota; Metazoa; Chordata; Mammalia; Primates; Hominidae. The record is from RNAcentral.
AGAAAGCCCUCAAAUUAUAUAAGGUUGAAGCUCUAAUGGGAAAUGUUGAUGUCAUCUCAGAAGUCAGAGCUAAUGCUAUGACCAUCUGCCCAAGCGGGAAUCAUGAACUCCAUCCUCCUUAUCCACUGGGAGGUCAGUUCUGCCCUAGAACUGUUACCGAAUAGAGUUGCCCAGGUUCUCGGCCUGUUGAACAAAUAAUUGAACAAAAUGCACAAAGUAACAAAAGAAUGAAGCAACCAAAGCCAACGCAACAGAAUAAGGGAGUAAUGAAAGCACAGAUGUAUUGAAGACAACUCACUGAGUGGGACUGGGCUCCAGCAAGCUGCACAAGAGCCUCUCCAGUUAGGAUUUUUAUAAAGCCAAAAGAACUUGGCAACACCCCUAGGUGCCCUUUAGAGGCCUCCAAUUGGUUACAUCCUAUGAAGGAUUGGCCUGCAACCAAUCAGAGGCUGAAGUAGAAAUAUCUGUCUUGUCACAGGAUUGAAGAUAUGGCCUGUACGCAGCCCAGUCUUGCCUAGAACUGGCUGCACCUGCUGUUCCUUUGCUUAUGCCCCAACCCUUGGCUACCCUAAUUCCCUAUUCUCCUGCCUCAGAACUAUCUUCUGAUCUGUCCAUGUCUUUUACUCCUUUGUCAUUUUUUGGUUGGACUCUAGCAACAAUCUACUGAAUGAUUUCCUUGCUCCAUGUUUCUCUUAUUUCUAACCCACUCUCCUUCUAUACAGUUUCCAAAGAAACAAUUAUGAUCACAUCCCUUUUGUUUGUAAAGACAUCCAAAUCCUUCAAUAUGGAUCCAAAACCCUAAUUAAUCUCCUUUCAGAAUACCUAUUCAUCUUUAUUUUUACCAUACUCCUUGUCCAACCCCAACCUAAUAUUAUGAGCUUUAUGUCAUUCUUCAAACAUGUCAUGCUGUUUAAGUCUCUAUGUCAUUAGAUUUCUUUCUUUCUUUUUUAUUUUUUCUUUUGUGAGAUGGAGUCUCACUCUGUCACCCAGGCUGGAGUGCAGUGGUGUGACCUCAACCCACUGCAAUCUCCGCCUCCCAGGUUCAAGCAAUUCUCCUGCCUCAGCCUCCCAAGUUGCUGGGACUACAGGUGUCUGCCACCACACCCGGCUAAUUUUUGUAUUAUUAGUAGAGACGGGUUUCAACAUGUUGGCCAUGCUGGUCUCAAACUCCUGACCUCAGGUGAUCCGCCUGCCUUGGCCUCCCAAAGUGCUGGGAUUACAGAAGUGAGCCACCGUGCCCAACCAAGCCACUGCGCCCGGCAUCUAUGUCAUUAGAUUUCGAUUUUCUUUUGUUGUUGUUGUUGUUGUUGGUUUGUUUUUGUUUGUUUGUUUGUUUUGAGACGGAGUUUCGCUCUUGUAGCCCAGGCUGGAGUGCAAUGGCAUGAUCUCGGCUAACUGCAACCUCCGCCUCCCAGGUUCAAGCGAUUCUCCUGCCUCAGCCUCCUGAGUAGCUGGAAUUACAGGCAUGGGCCACCAAGCCCGGCUAAUUUUGUAUUUUUAGUAGAGACGGGGUUUCUGCAUGUUGGUCAGCUGGUCUCGAACUCCCGACAUCAGGUGAUCCGCUAGCCUUGGCCUCCCAAAGUGCUGGGAUUACAGGCGUGAACCACUGUGACCGGCCUCGAUUUGUAUAUAUAUAUAUAAUGAAAAAACUUACCUGUGUCUCAUACAAGAUACAAAUUUAAAUUUCUCUUACAUAAAAAAAGCCAAGAAUGAGGCAGUCCAAGGAUGGUGUGGCAGCCCCACAGGUAUCAAGGCCCCAGACUCCUAUUUCUCUGUUUUACCACCCCCAGCACAUGACUUAAGUACACCCCAUAAUUUAAGUACACCUCAUAAUUCAAGGUGGUUUCUAGGACUUCAGCCAUCACAUUUGAGUUCCAGGCUGAAAGCAAAAACAAGAAAAAUAUUCAUUCCUUCCCCUUUAAGAAGACUUCUUGGAAGUCUCACAUAUUUACUCACAUCUCACUGGCCAGAAAUUAGUCACAUUAUUAUUAGUCAGAAUGUAGAUUUUUAACAGGGUAUGCUGUCCCCCUUCCCCCAAAAUAGGGUUUUUGAUAGAAAGAAGUCUUACUCACAGUUUUAGGGGCCAGCUCAAAUGCUUUCAUGCUUUUCUAACUUUUCCAUGCAGAGGAGGUUCCCCUCAUGCUUACCAAACAUUUAGUUUUCAUUAUCGAUUGAUGGAUGGAUGGAUGGAUAGAUAGGUAGAUAGAUGAUAGAUAAUCAAUAAUCAACAGAUAAAUUCAGGUACAAACACACACACAUGCACACACACACAUACACACACACAUAUAUAUAUAAACACUUACGUUUUCCUUAUCAAAGGAGCUCCUUAUAAAUAGAGAUCAUGGCUUACUCAACUUUUUAUCUUGGCACUGAGCAUGGAGUAGGCCUUCAUAAAUGUUUGUUGAAUAAAUGCAUUGAUGCUUACAUAAAUAAACCAGCCGGGCGCAGUGGCUCACACCUGUAAACCCAGCACUUUGGGAGGCUGAGGCGGGUGGAUCACGAGGUCAGGAGUUCAAGGUCAGCCUGGCCAAGAUCGUGAAACCCCGUCUCUACUAAAACUACAAAAAUUAGCUAGGGGUGGUGGCGGGUGCCUGUAAUCCCAGCUACUCCGGAGGCUGAGGCAGGAGAAUAGCUUGAACCUGGGUGGCAG